Long non-coding RNA from Lolium perenne, 1165 nucleotides. RefSeq lists it as uncharacterized. The record is from RefSeq and is a predicted model, not a curated record. Lineage: Eukaryota; Viridiplantae; Streptophyta; Magnoliopsida; Poales; Poaceae.
CGUCCGCGUUCAAUUUUGUUUUCUUUUCUUCUGAUCUGGGCCCCACCACCACAUCAUCGUCGCCAUCAAGCUCCAGCUGAGGAGUCACGCACGGACGUUUAAGUUUUGCAGUUUCUUGCAUUUCCUCCUUCGUUGAUUACAGGCGAUUUAAGACACCAUUUGACGCACCGUUUCUUCCUAUUUAAGCCUCAGAUUCUCCUCUCUAAUUCCCCCCAAACGUCACACCAAGAGAGCCACCAGGCUGCUCCAAUUUCACCUCGCAAGUUCACGGUACCGGCGACUUCCCGGGACGAUUGCAUGACGACGCUAUAUUUCGACUGUAGUCUCCGGCGAGCGAUUUCCGGCGAACUACUGCACCUCGACGUCCGCAACUUCGUCAUCGAGUUCCCUUUGCGAAGACGAACUCCGUUGUCUGCUACACCAUCGCCAUCAAGCACGGAAACAUCAACUGCAUCGACCACGACCAUAUGUUCCAGUGACCUGUGUUCUACAUUGUGGUUGUGCUGAUUGCAACGAGUGUGUCUGCGAAGAGUGUACCAACUCAUUCUCUCACCAAGGCAAGUGACACACACCAAAAGUCCCAGUUUUAAUUCUUGCACCGUAGUGUUUUUAUAGUAGACAUGUCUAGGGUUUAUGCUUUAUGCCUGCUAAUAAAUCCUAGUAGUUUAGCUACACCACUCCUAGACUCCUUUAGCCGCCAUUAAAUUUAGUUGUUACCUGCUAUGCCAUGGAAAAUGUUUUGAUAGAGGUUAAGGAAAAACAACUAAGUUUAAUAAAUUACCUGGGUGAAUGGUGGAGUUAUGGAGAGGGUGGCUGUAUCAGGGGGCAAGACCCUGGUGCUAGUGCACACUUGCGGAAAGUCACCCAGGCUUAAAGAGAUUGUAGACAAACCUUGCUCAUUAGCUUCCCGUACAACCACAUGCUACUAUGGCUCUGGCUUGACAAAGUAUGUUGUAUGAACCCGGAUCCUAGGGGCCAGGUGGUGGUAGAGGGAUACUGUAGGUGGAACGGGGCCCUUAGGGAAUGGUUCGGGUGAUUACACACAGAAGGUCUCGGCCACGGUCUGCACCUGUCCUCUGAGCAAAAUGUGCAUCGAGGUAGAAGGAUUGACCUGGCCAUGUGGGUAAAGGUGUACAACCUCUCGAGAGUGUAAAAAUCUAAGUAC